This 83-nucleotide transfer RNA is filed under the name bacterium G20. It matches the Rfam family "tRNA". Rfam says of the family: Transfer RNA (tRNA) molecules are approximately 80 nucleotides in length. Their secondary structure includes four short double-helical elements and three loops (D, anti-codon, and T loops). Further hydrogen bonds mediate the characteristic L-shaped molecular structure. tRNAs have two regions of fundamental functional importance: the anti-codon, which is responsible for specific mRNA codon recognition, and the 3' end, to which the tRNAs corresponding amino acid is attached (by aminoacyl-tRNA synthetases). tRNAs cope with the degeneracy of the genetic code in two manners: having more than one tRNA (with a specific anti-codon) for a particular amino acid; and 'wobble' base-pairing, i.e. permitting non-standard base-pairing at the 3rd anti-codon position. The record is from Rfam by way of RNAcentral.
GCUCGGGUGAUGGAAUAGGUAUACAUGCGACACUUAAAAUGUCGUGCCCACAAGGUAUGCGGGUUCGAUUCCCGCCCCGAGCA